UGCGUAGGCGGCGUCAUAAGUCAGGGGUGAAAGCCCACAGCUCAACUGUGGAAUUGCCUUUGAUACUGUGGUGCUUGAAUCAGGUUGAGGUAGGCGGAAUGUGGCAUGUAGCGGUGAAAUGCUUAGAUAUGCCAUAGAACACCGAUUGCGAAGGCAGCUUACUGGACCUGCAUUGACGCUGAGGCACGAAAGCGUGGGGGGCGAACAGGAUUAGAUACCCUGGUAGUCC
Molecule: ribosomal RNA, 229 nt
Filed under: uncultured bacterium
Lineage: Bacteria
Description: partial 16S ribosomal RNA
Rfam family: Bacterial small subunit ribosomal RNA
Source: RNAcentral